UCAAGUUAUUAAGGGUGCAGGGCGGAUGCCUUGGCACUAGGAGCCGAUGAAGGACGUGAUAAGCUGCGAUAAGCUUCGGGGAGUUGCACGUAAACUUUGAUCCGAAGAUUUCCGAAUGAGGAAACUCACUUAGAGUAAUGUCUAAGUAUCAUUAAGUGAAUACAUAGCUUAAUGAGGGGAACUCAGGGAACUGAAACAUCUAAGUACCUGAAGGAAGAGAAAGAAAUUCGAUUCCGUAAGUAGCGGCGAGCGAACGCGGAUUAGCCCAAACCAAUAAAGUUUUCUUUAUUGGGGUUGCGGACAUAUCAUAACGAAGAGGUAUCGUAAUUGAAGAGGUUUGGAAAGACCCACCACAGAAGGUAAUAGUCCUGUAUGUUAAACGAGAAGACUUUAGAUAUGAUCCAGAGUACCACGGGACACGUGAAACCCUGUGGGAAGCAGGAGGGACCACCCUCCAAGGCUAAAUACUACCUAGUGACCGAUAGCGUAUAGUACCGUGAGGGAAAGGUGAAAAGAACCCCGGGAGGGGAGUGAAAUAGAACCUGAAACCCUGCACUUACAAGCUGUGGAAGCACAUUUCUUGUGUGACCGCGUACUUUUUGUAGAACGGGCCAACGAGUUACGUUAAGUAGCAAGGUUAAGCACUUAAGGUGCGGAGCCGUAGCGAAAGCGAGUUUUAACUGAGCGUUCAGUUACUUGACGUAGACCCGAAACCGGGCGACCUACCCAUGAGCAGGAUGAAGCGAAAGUAAAAUUUCGUGGAGGUCCGAACCCACGAGCGUUGAAAAGCUCGGGGAUGACUUGUGGGUAGCGGUGAAAUUCCAAUCGAGCCCGGAGAUAGCUGGUUCUCCCCGAAAUAGCUUUAGGGCUAGCCUCAAGGUGAGAGAUACGGAGGUAGAGCACUGAAUGUCCUAGGGGGUAUUGCACCUACCGAAGACUAUCAAACUCCGAAUGCCGUCAUCUUAUACUUGGGAGUCAGACUGUGGGUGAUAAGAUUCAUAGUCGAAAGGGCAACAGCCCAGAUCGUCAGCUAAGGUCCCUAAAUGUAAGUUAAGUGGUAAAGGAUGUGGGAUUGCACAGACAACCAGGAUGUUGGCUUAGAAGCAGCCACUCAUUCAAAGAGUGCGUAAUAGCUCACUGGUCGAGUGAUCCUGCGCCGAAGAUUUCCGGGGCUAAAACUUACUACCGAAGCUACGGCAUCAGUAAUGAUGGGUAGGGGAGCUUCCCAUACGGGUUGAAGCAUGACCGUAAGGACAUGUGGACAGUAUGGGAGUGAGAAUGUUGGCAUGAGUAGCGAGAUGUGGGUGAGAAUCCCACAGGCCGUAAACCCAAGGUUUCCAGGGGAAGGUUCGUCCGCCCUGGGUUAGUCGGGACCUAAGCUGAGGCCGAAAGGCGUAGGUGAUGGACAACAGGUUGAUAUUCCUGUACUACCGAUAACCGUUUGAGAGAAGGGAUGACACAGUAGGAUAAGCUAAGCACACUGUUGGUUAUGUGUGCCCAAGCAUUGAGGCAGUCAAAGUAGGCAAAUCCGCUUUGAUAAUGCUGGGAUGUGAUGGGGAGCGAAAUUUAGUAGCGAAGUAGCUGAUUUCACACUGUCAAGAAAAGUCUCUAUCGAGGUUAAAGGUACCCGUACCGCAAACCGACACAGGUGGGUGAGGAGAGUAUCCUAAGGCCAGCGAGAGAACUGUUGUUAAGGAACUCGGCAAAAUGACCCCGUAACUUAGGGAUAAGGGGUGCCACCAUCAGGUGGCCGCAGAGAAUAGGCCCAAGCGACUGUUUACCAAAAACAUAGGUUUCUGCUAAGUCGCAAGACGAUGUAUAGGAGCUGACGCCUGCCCGGUGCUGGAAGGUUAAGGGGAUCUGUUAGAGCAAUCGAAGCAGUGAACUUAAGCCCCAGUAAACGGCGGCCGUAACUAUAACGGUCCUAAGGUAGCGAAAUUCCUUGUCGGGUAAGUUCCGACCCGCACGAAAGGCGUAACGAUUUGGGCACUGUCUCAACAACAGACUCGGUGAAAUUGUAAUUCCGGUGAAGAUGCCGGAUACCUGCGACAGGACGGAAAGACCCCAUGGAGCUUUACUGUAGCUUGACAUUGGGUCUUGGUACUACAUGUACAGGAUAGGUGGGAGGCUUUGAAACCAGGACGCCAGUUUUGGCGGAGCCAUCCUUGGGAUACCACCCUUGUAGUACUGGGACUCUAACCAUAGGCCAUGAAUCUGGUCUUGGGACACUGUCAGGUGGGCAGUUUGACUGGGGCGGUCGCCUCCCAAAAGGUAACGGAGGCGCUCAAAGGUUCUCUCAGUACGGUCGGAAAUCGUACGUAGAGUGUAAAGGCAAAAGAGAGCUUGAUUGCAAGACAUACAGGUCGAGCAAGGAUGAAAAUCGGACUUAGUGAUCCGGUGGUUCUGCGUGGAAGGGCCAUCGCUCAACGGAUAAAAGCUACCCUGGGGAUAACAGGCUUAUCUCCCCCAAGAGUCCACAUCGA
RNAcentral lists this ribosomal RNA (2483 nucleotides) under Clostridioides difficile. RNAcentral's name for it is "bacterial LSU rRNA". It matches the Rfam family "Bacterial large subunit ribosomal RNA", at positions 3 to 2508 of the family's 2925-position model. Lineage: Bacteria; Bacillati; Bacillota; Clostridia; Peptostreptococcales; Peptostreptococcaceae. The record is from RNAcentral.